Molecule: ribosomal RNA, 430 nt
Filed under: uncultured bacterium
Lineage: Bacteria
Description: bacterial SSU rRNA
Rfam family: Bacterial small subunit ribosomal RNA
Source: RNAcentral
CGCGAACGGGUGAGUAACACGUGGGUAACCUGCCCCGAUGACCGGGACAACCCGAGGAAACUCGGGCUAAUACCGGAUGUGGCGCGCAUGACACAAGUCUGUUCGCUAAAGGAAGCUUCGGCCUCCGCAUUGGGAGGGGCCCUGCGGCCCAUUAGCUUGUUGGUGGGGUCGACGGCCUACCAAGGCAAGCGAUGGGUAGCUGGUCUGAGAGGACGACCAGCCGCAUUGGGCACUGAGCCACGCUACAAACUCCAUACGGGAGGCGAGUGGGAAUCUUGCGCAUGCGCGAAGCGUGACGCGCACGCCGGUGGGGGAGACGGCCUUCGGGUCGUCCCCUUCAGGGGGACGACGGUUCGCCGGUGAAUAGCCGUGCGGAUUGACGGUACCUCCAGAAGGAAGCUCCGGGCUAACUACGUGCCAGCAGCCGGGG